RNAcentral lists this transfer RNA (75 nucleotides) under Bacillota bacterium. RNAcentral's name for it is "tRNA-Ile". It matches the Rfam family "tRNA". From Rfam's summary of the family: Transfer RNA (tRNA) molecules are approximately 80 nucleotides in length. Their secondary structure includes four short double-helical elements and three loops (D, anti-codon, and T loops). Further hydrogen bonds mediate the characteristic L-shaped molecular structure. tRNAs have two regions of fundamental functional importance: the anti-codon, which is responsible for specific mRNA codon recognition, and the 3' end, to which the tRNAs corresponding amino acid is attached (by aminoacyl-tRNA synthetases). tRNAs cope with the degeneracy of the genetic code in two manners: having more than one tRNA (with a specific anti-codon) for a particular amino acid; and 'wobble' base-pairing, i.e. permitting non-standard base-pairing at the 3rd anti-codon position. The record is from RNAcentral. RNAcentral also lists the same sequence under 1 other name. Lineage: Bacteria; Bacillati; Bacillota.
GGGCCCUUAGCUCAGCGGCAGAGCAGUGGACUCAUAAUCCAUUGGUCGCUGGUUCGAACCCAGCAGGGCCCACCA